This 263-nucleotide unclassified non-coding RNA is filed under the name plant metagenome. RNAcentral describes it as "partial contains small subunit ribosomal RNA, internal transcribed spacer 1, and 5.8S ribosomal RNA". The stretch from base 1 to 54 matches the Rfam family "Eukaryotic small subunit ribosomal RNA", at positions 1778 to 1831 of the family's 1831-position model. The record is from RNAcentral.
GGAAGUAAGAGUCGUAACAAGGUUUCCGUAGGUGAACCUGCGGAAGGAUCAUUAUUGAAUGAAACACUUCUGGCUUUAUGCUGUUGUGCUGGCCCUUUGGGCAAUGUGCACACGGCUCUGGUCACUUGUUUCUUCUGUUCCACCUGUGCACUGCCUGUAGACACGCUGUGUCUAUGAUAUUUGUUAACACACAACAAUGUUAGUUGGCAUGUUAUAUAUAAUAAUAAAAUAUACAACUUUCAACAACGGAUCUCUUGGCUCUC